UACAGAGGGUGCAAGCGUUAAUCGGAAUUACUGGGCGUAAAGCGCGCGUAGGUGGUUUGUUAAGUUGGAUGUGAAAUCCCCGGGCUCAACCUAGGAACUGCAUUCAAAACUGACUGACUAGAGUAUGGUAGAGGGUGGUGGAAUUUCCUGUGUAGCGGUGAAAUGCGUAGAUAUAGGAAGGAACACCAGUGGCGAAGGCGACCACCUGGGCUAAUACUGACACUGAGGUGCGAAAGCGUGGGGAGCAAACAGG
RNAcentral lists this ribosomal RNA (253 nucleotides) under uncultured bacterium. Its description in RNAcentral is "partial 16S ribosomal RNA". It matches the Rfam family "Bacterial small subunit ribosomal RNA", at positions 524 to 776 of the family's 1533-position model. The record is from RNAcentral.